GACGAACGCUGGCGGCGUGCUUAACACAUGCAAGUCGAACGGAAAGGCCCUGCUUUUGUGGGGUGCUCGAGUGGCGAACGGGUGAGUAACACGUGAGUAACCUGCCCUUGACUUUGGGAUAACUUCAGGAAACUGGGGCUAAUACCGGAUAGGAGCUCCUGCUGCAUGGUGGGGGUUGGAAAGUUUCGGCGGUUGGGGAUGGACUCGCGGCUUAUCAGCUUGUUGGUGGGGUAGUGGCUUACCAAGGCUUUGACGGGUAGCCGGCCUGAGAGGGUGACCGGCCACAUUGGGACUGGGAUACGGCCCCGACUCCUACGGGAGGCAGCAGUGGGGAAUAUUGCACAAUGGGCGGAAGCGUGAUGCAGCAGCGCCGCGUGCGGGAUGACGGCCUUCGGGUUGUAAACCGCUUUCGCCUGUGACGAAGCGUGAGUGACGGUAAUGGGUAAAGAAGCACCGGCUAACUACGUG
Molecule: ribosomal RNA, 468 nt
Filed under: uncultured bacterium
Lineage: Bacteria
Description: partial 16S ribosomal RNA
Rfam family: Bacterial small subunit ribosomal RNA
Source: RNAcentral